GGGAUAGAAUUCCAGGAGUAGCGGUGAAAUGCGUAGAUAUCUGGAGGAAUACCAAAGGCGAAGGCAGUCCCCUGGUCCGAUACUGACACUGAGGUACGAAAGCGUGGGGAGCAAACAGGAUUAGAUACCCUGGUAGUCCACGCCCUAAACGAUGUCGAUUAGCCAUUGGAAGGACCCCUUUUCCUUUCAGUGACGUAGCUAACGCGUUAAAUCGACCGCCUGGGAAGUACGACCGCAAGGUUAAAACUCAAAGGAAUUGACGGGGACCUGAACAAGCGGUGAAUGAUGUGGAUUAAUUCGAUGCUACGCGAAGAACCUUACCUACCCUUGACAUGGCCAAAGUUCUACCGAGAGGCGGAAGUACUCGUAAGAGGAUUGGCGCACAGGUGCUGCAUGGUUGUCGUCAGUUCGUGUCGUGAGAUGUUGGGUUCAGUCCCGCAACGAACGCAACCCUUAUCUUUAAUUGCUCCUAUUUUAACAGGCACUUUAAAGAAACUGCCAAUGAUAAGUUGGAGGAAGGUGGGGAUCACGUCAAGUCCGCAUGGCCUUUAUAGGUAGGGCUUCACACGUCAUACAAUGGUUAGAACAAAGAGCUGCAAAUUCGUAAGAAGGAGCCAAUCUCACAAACCUAACCUCAGUUCGAAUUGCGGUCUGCAACUCGAGCGCAUGAAGCCGGAAUCGCUAGUAAUCGUGGAUCAGAAUGCCACGGUGAAUACGUUCUUAGGUCUU
RNAcentral lists this ribosomal RNA (729 nucleotides) under Candidatus Tremblayella phenacoccinincola. RNAcentral's name for it is "bacterial SSU rRNA". It matches the Rfam family "Bacterial small subunit ribosomal RNA", at positions 658 to 1382 of the family's 1533-position model. Lineage: Bacteria; Pseudomonadati; Pseudomonadota; Betaproteobacteria. The record is from RNAcentral.